This 122-nucleotide small nuclear RNA is filed under the name Neogale vison (American mink). RNAcentral describes it as "Neovison vison (American mink) U4 spliceosomal RNA (ENSNVIG00000018984.1)". It matches the Rfam family "U4 spliceosomal RNA". Rfam says of the family: U4 small nuclear RNA (U4 snRNA) is a component of the major U2-dependent spliceosome. The structure of U4 snRNA from yeast and human has been reported. Lineage: Eukaryota; Metazoa; Chordata; Mammalia; Carnivora; Mustelidae. The record is from Rfam by way of RNAcentral.
AGCUUUGCGCAGUGGCAGUAUCGUAGCCAAUGAGGUUUAUCCGAGGCGCAAUUAUUGCUAAUUGAAAUCAGUGAAACCCUUUAAGUCUUAACAAAGGUAAGUAUGAAACUGCCUCAAAGGGA